RNAcentral lists this long non-coding RNA (297 nucleotides) under Columba livia (rock pigeon). RNAcentral's name for it is "partial uncharacterized LOC102089760". The record is from RNAcentral. Lineage: Eukaryota; Metazoa; Chordata; Aves; Columbiformes; Columbidae.
ACCUGAAGGCAAACAAGCUCUUGUGAACGCAACGCUGGAGGCACAAGGAGCUCAAAGAUUUAUUCACUAAACUGGAGAAGGAUGGAGAUGGAAGAGUGAGCUUUGGGGUUGCAGUUUGGCUUGUUCAGCCACAUGACCACCUUUUUCCAGGUGUCAGAGGAGCGUGCACAGGGAAGCAGUUGAUCCUUCUGCCUGAACUGUGUGGGCCCACAUCUCUUCUCCAGCAUUGAAUGGCACUAGAUUUGCCAAACUUGUCAUUGCCGUAUGAGCCCUGGGAGAACUUUGAGUAGAUCCUCA